UCGAGUCGUCCUGCGCGGAAGAUGUAACGGGGCUAAGCCAGUUACCGAAGCUGCGGAUUUGCAAUUUAUUGCAAGUGGUAGGAGAGCGUUCUGUAAGCCUGUGAAGGUGCCUGGUAACGGGUGCUGGAGGUAUCAGAAGUGCGAAUGCUGACAUGAGUAGCGUUAAAGGGGGUGAAAAGCCCCCUCGCCGUAAGCGCAAGGUUUCCUACGCAACGUUCAUCGGCGUAGGGUGAGUCGGCCCCUAAGGCGAGGCAGAGAUGCGUAGCUGAUGGGAAACAGGUCAAUAUUCCUGUACCGAUGUGUAGUGCGAUGUGGGGACGGAGAAGGUUAGCUCAGCCAACUGUUGGAUAUGUUGGUUCAAGCCUGUAGUCGUGCCUGGUAGGCAAAUCCGCCGGGCUUAGAUGAGGGGUGAUAACGAGUCUGCUUGCAGACGAAGUGAGUGAUACCCUGCUUCCAGGAAAAGCCACUAAGCUUCAGCUACACACGACCGUACCGCAAACCGACACUGGUGCGCGAGAUGAGUAUUCUAAGGCGCUUGAGAGAACUCUGGAGAAGGAACUCGGCAAAUUGAUACCGUAACUUCGGGAGAAGGUAUGCCGCAAGUAGGUGAACUUGAACAAAGGGAGCCCAAAGCGGUUGCAAAAAAUCGGUGGCUGCGACUGUUUAAUAAAAACACAGCACUCUGCAAA
RNAcentral lists this ribosomal RNA (689 nucleotides) under Staphylococcus aureus. RNAcentral's name for it is "partial 23S ribosomal RNA". It matches the Rfam family "Bacterial large subunit ribosomal RNA", at positions 1149 to 1829 of the family's 2925-position model. The record is from RNAcentral. Lineage: Bacteria; Bacillati; Bacillota; Bacilli; Caryophanales; Staphylococcaceae.